AUGAGACAGGCAGUUCUGGAGAAGAAAGCAGCAGUGAUGAAGGCGGUGUACAAGGACAACACGCAGCGCACAGUUAUUACGUGUCGCUGCACCAGGGUGGCGUAGGCAGCAGCAGAAUUACUAUCCCAGGAGAGGACAAGGAUACUCAUCAAGAAACAACUCUGAGCCCUGGGGCAAGUGGAUCUGAAGAAUGGGACAGUGGUGUGCAACAGUACACAGAACACACAUCGCUUCAUCCACAUAGUGCUGUCUGCAGCCCAACGGAUCCACCACCGGAUCAACAAGAAUCACAAGCAUCGCAUACAGUUGAUGCAGAGCGUACUAUUGACGAACUCAGGGCAGCGAAGGCGAAUUUGGAGAAGAGGUUGUUGAUUGCUGAGAAGAGUUGUGAAGCACAAAAAAACAGAAACUUAAACA
Long non-coding RNA from Sycon ciliatum, 417 nucleotides. RefSeq lists it as uncharacterized. NCBI's taxonomy places the organism in Eukaryota, Metazoa, Porifera, Calcarea, Leucosolenida, Sycettidae. The transcript is spliced from 3 exons. The record is from RefSeq and is a predicted model, not a curated record.